Molecule: ribosomal RNA, 400 nt
Filed under: uncultured bacterium
Lineage: Bacteria
Description: bacterial SSU rRNA
Rfam family: Bacterial small subunit ribosomal RNA
Source: RNAcentral
UGAGGAAUAUUGGUCAAUGGCCGAGAGGCUGAACCAGCCAAGUCGCGUGAGGGAUGAAGGUUCUAUGGAUCGUAAACCUCUUUUAUAAGGGAAUAAAGUGUGGGACGUGUCCUAUUUUGUAUGUACCUUAUGAAUAAGGAUCGGCUAACUCCGUGCCAGCAGCCGCGGUAAUACGGAGGAUCCGAGCGUUAUCCGGAUUUAUUGGGUUUAAAGGGUGCGUAGGCGGCCUUUUAAGUCAGCGGUGAAAGUCUGUGGCUCAACCAUAGAAUUGCCGUUGAAACUGGGGGGCUUGAGUAUGUUUGAGGCAGGCGGAAUGCGUGGUGUAGCGGUGAAAUGCAUAGAUAUCACGCAGAACCCCGAUUGCGAAGGCAGCCUGCCAAGCCAUUACUGACGCUGAUGC